Molecule: long non-coding RNA, 824 nt
Organism: Apus apus (common swift)
Lineage: Eukaryota; Metazoa; Chordata; Aves; Apodiformes; Apodidae
Exons: 3
Source: RefSeq, a predicted model, not a curated record
GCCAACGAUGACAGAGGCAAUGCUGCAGGAUGGAAUGAAUUGUCUGGCCCACAGGACUAUUGGAGGAAGCACCAUGCUCCAGCCUGUGAAGUAUUGAUUUAGGAAAAGAAAGCCCUGUUACGAAAGAAAUGCAAAUGGCUGAAGAAAGUCUCUCAGUAUUUUGCCAAAGAAUUACAAGUGUGCCAGACUGACACCUUGGAGACCAGAUGUGACACACUGCAUGAGCCAAAGCAGUGUGAGAUACCUGCCUGUUCAGCUGCUUCAAGUAGGACCAGCAGUGAUGGCUUCGAACGUGUCAUCUCAAAUCAUCCAUCAGACCCACCUGGCCCACCCAUGACCUCCCACCAAGACAUCUUUCCCUGCUGCCAUCAAAGGAGAUGUUGUGAUGUGAAUACAUUUUUACUUACAACUGAGAGGAGAACAUUCAACUCCGAAAAGCUUCCAGCCCAUUGAUAUGCAUCACUUGGAAACUGUGGACUGCCCUGGAGGCAACUGCACAACAUCUGCUGUGAACACAUGAAAUCCUGCUCCCACUGAAAAGUCAGCUCGACACUUGGUUUAAUGGAGCCCAGAUCUCAAUUUGGUCAGUGGGGUCAGGUACAGCCUGGACAAUCAACAGCAUAAAAAUCAGCAAGUCAGCAAACUUCUGGUAUGAGAAACAUGAAAGAUUCAGGCACAGAAAUGAAUGCUACAAUUAAAAAAAAAGUAAAUUAAAAAACCUGGCCCUCAGUGUUGUCACAGCAACAGAGUAUUUACAGCUAAUCAGGCCAUACACCCCAAAAUAACUUUAAUGAGCCUGCCAAUGCUUGCAACAUGCACUAAGU